This 464-nucleotide ribosomal RNA is filed under the name uncultured bacterium. Its description in RNAcentral is "partial 16S ribosomal RNA". It matches the Rfam family "Bacterial small subunit ribosomal RNA", at positions 28 to 523 of the family's 1533-position model. The record is from RNAcentral.
GACGAACGCUGGCGGCGUGCUUAACACAUGCAAGUCGAACGAUGAAGCCGGAGCUUGCUCUGGUGAAUUAGUGGCGAACGGGUGAGUAACACGUGAGUAACCUGCCCUUGACUCUGGGAUAACUGCUCGAAAGAGUAGCUAAUACCGCAUGUGCUCUACGGAGUAAAGCUUCGGCGGUCUGGGAAGGGCGUGCGUCUGAUUAGCUAGUUGGUAAGGUAACGGCUUACCAAGGCGACGAUCGGUAGCUGGUGUGAGAGGAUGAUCAGCCACACUGGGACUGAGAGACGGCCCAGACUCCUACGGGGGGCAGCAGUAGGGAAUUUUCCACAAUGGGCGAAAGCCUGAUGGAGCGACGCCGCGUGCAGGAUGAAGGCCUUUGGGUCGUAAACUGCUUUUCUCUGUGACGAUUAUGACGGUAGCAGAGGAAUAAGGGUCGGCUAACUACGUGCCAGCCGCCGCCGUAA